This 236-nucleotide long non-coding RNA is filed under the name Homo sapiens (human). Its description in RNAcentral is "non-protein coding lnc-TMEM164-1:1". The record is from RNAcentral. Lineage: Eukaryota; Metazoa; Chordata; Mammalia; Primates; Hominidae.
GAGCGCGGCUGCUGCAGGGGGAGGAAGACGGGGAGGAGGAGCCGUGCGCCGCGGCGGCGGCCGCCAGGGGAACCGAGCGCCCGGCGCGGAGAGCGCGGGAGCGGAGCAGUAGCCCGAUCCGGGGCCGCGGGCCGAGCUGCCGAUUGGCCAACGGCUCCUUUCAACCCUGCCUCGUUGGUGGCCACUGGAGAAGCGCGGGGGGCUCCCCCAGACAGCCGUGGGGACAAGUUAGAGCC